GGCCAGUGUGGUGCAAUGGUUUGGGAGAUGGACUAGGACUCUGGAGACCAGGGUUCAAAUCCCGUCUCGGCCA
Phrynosoma platyrhinos (Desert horned lizard) is the source of this 73-nucleotide non-coding RNA. The record is from the annotation of a GenBank genome assembly. NCBI's taxonomy places the organism in Eukaryota, Metazoa, Chordata, Lepidosauria, Squamata, Phrynosomatidae.